Molecule: non-coding RNA, 125 nt
Organism: Triticum aestivum (bread wheat)
Lineage: Eukaryota; Viridiplantae; Streptophyta; Magnoliopsida; Poales; Poaceae
Source: Rfam
GAAAUACUCCCUCCGUCUGAAAAUAUUUGUCAAAAAAAUGCAUAAAAAUGAAUGCCUCUAAAACUAAAAUACAUCUAAAUACAUUCAUUUCUCCGACGAGUAUUUACAGACGGAGGAAGUAUUAG